AUCCGUGUAAAUAUUCUCAGACCAUAGGAAGUGCCGUAUGACACUGUAAACCAAUAGCUUCAGCUACUUCUGACAUUGUAAACUUUGUGGUUUGGUCUGUUCCAAAAUCUCUAUUUGCAGCCGGUUUGUUCAUCUGUGUGCGUGAUUUCUGACAUUGUCAACUUUUUGGUUUGUUCUGUUCCAAAAUCUCUAUUUGCAGCCGGUUUGGUUCAGCUUUGUGCGUGAUUUAAAACGGGUCUCUGGGAU
RNAcentral lists this small nucleolar RNA (246 nucleotides) under Hordeum vulgare. Its description in RNAcentral is "Small nucleolar RNA Z112". It matches the Rfam family "Small nucleolar RNA Z112". From Rfam's summary of the family: Z112 is a member of the C/D class of snoRNA which contain the C (UGAUGA) and D (CUGA) box motifs. Most of the members of the box C/D family function in directing site-specific 2'-O-methylation of substrate RNAs. Lineage: Eukaryota; Viridiplantae; Streptophyta; Magnoliopsida; Poales; Poaceae. The record is from RNAcentral.